RNAcentral lists this ribosomal RNA (488 nucleotides) under uncultured bacterium. RNAcentral describes it as "bacterial LSU rRNA". It matches the Rfam family "Bacterial large subunit ribosomal RNA", at positions 1762 to 2257 of the family's 2925-position model. The record is from RNAcentral.
UGGAGCUCGAAAGGGUUGCAGUGAAAAGGUGGCUGCGACUGUUUAUUAAAAACACAGCACUCUGCAAACACGAAAGUGGACGUAUAGGGUGUGACGCCUGCCCGGUGCUGGAAGAUUAAAUGAUGGGGUGCAAGCUCUUGACUGAAGUCCCAGUAAACGGCGGCCGUAACAAUAACGGUCCUAAGGUAGCGAAAUUCCUUGUCGGGUAAGUUCCGACCCGCACGAAUGGCGUAACGAUGGCCACACUGUCUCCUCCUGAGACUCAGCGAAGUUGAAAUGUUUGUGAAGAUGCAAUCUCCCCGCUGCUAGACGGAAAGACCCCGUGAACCUUUACUGUAGCUUUGCAUUGGACUUUGAACAGACUUGUGUAGGAUAGGUGGGAGGCUUUGAAGUGGGAACGCCAGUUCUCAUGGAGCCGUCCUUGAAAUACCACCCUGGUGUGUUUGAGGUUCUAACCUUAGGUCCGUAAUCCGGAUCGGGGACCGUGC